Molecule: non-coding RNA, 73 nt
Organism: Hibiscus syriacus
Lineage: Eukaryota; Viridiplantae; Streptophyta; Magnoliopsida; Malvales; Malvaceae
Source: the annotation of a RefSeq genome assembly
GCUAUCUUAGCUUAGUUGGUAGAGCGCAUGGCUUUUAACCAUGUGGUUGUGGGUUCAAUUUCCACAGACGGCA